This 112-nucleotide transfer RNA is filed under the name Actinomycetota bacterium. Its description in RNAcentral is "tRNA-Trp". The record is from RNAcentral. Lineage: Bacteria; Bacillati; Actinomycetota.
GGACUCUAGUUUUACUGAGCCUGGGGGAAGUGCGACGGACUCACCGAUCGCGAGUCAGUCGGACACCGGUCUCCAAAACCGGCGAUUCCAGGUUCGAGCCCUGGGUGCCCCG